GACGAACGCUGGCGGCGUGCCUAAUACAUGCAAGUAGAACGCACAGUUUAUACCGUAGCUUGCUACACCAUAGACUGUGAGUUGCGAACGGGUGAGUAACGCGUAGGUAACCUGCCUGGUAGCGGGGGAUAACUAUUGGAAACGAUAGCUAAUACCGCAUAAUAUUAAUUAUUGCAUGAUAAUUAAUUGAAAGGUGCAAUUGCACAACUACCAGAUGGACCUGCGUUGUAUUAGCUAGUAGGGGAGGUAACGGCUCACCUAGGCGACGAUACAUAGCCGACCUGAGCGGGGGGUCGGCCACACUGGGACUGGGACACGGCCCAGACUCCUACGGGGGGCAGCAGUAGGGGAUCUUCGGCAAUGGGCGGAAGUCUGACCGAGCAACGCCGCGGGGGGGAAGAAGGUUUUCCGGUCGUAAAGCUCUGUUGUAAGGGAAGAACGGGUGUGGGAGUGGAAAGUUCACACUGUGACGGUAUCUUACCAGAAAGGGACGGCUAACUACGUG
This 505-nucleotide ribosomal RNA is filed under the name uncultured bacterium. RNAcentral describes it as "partial 16S ribosomal RNA". It matches the Rfam family "Bacterial small subunit ribosomal RNA", at positions 28 to 507 of the family's 1533-position model. The record is from RNAcentral.